Molecule: long non-coding RNA, 558 nt
Filed under: Olea europaea subsp. europaea
Lineage: Eukaryota; Viridiplantae; Streptophyta; Magnoliopsida; Lamiales; Oleaceae
Source: RNAcentral
GCGACCAUAAGAAUCAUAAGACCUUAGUCUAGCCGCAGGACAAGUUGGCAAAUCUGCAUAUUUAUUUUCAUUCCAGCAUAAACAUCAGGAAUAAAAUCACUCAAUUUUUCAUGAUCAUGUCACAUAAGAGUUCCCAGCUGUUCUAACGGGCUAGCAUCUCAACAGGUCUGCAUUUGUGACACCUUCCAUUGCAGCAAUAAGUAGCCAAAACCCAUAUCAAAAGACACCUGGAGCCACCCAAUAGUAUCACUUGGAAGCUAGAAAUACACGUCAAAUUAGAUCAAAAUAACCCAAUUACUCAAAAUCAAGACUGAGAAGCUAACUUUCAAGCAAGAAUCAUUCCAUUGAAGCUCUGAACCCUAUUGUCCAGUACAUUGAUAGCAAAGAUAAUAGCACCCGCUACAUAUACAAGUUCAAGGGUAACAAAAACAAAUUUUUUCAUCCGAAAACAAUCUUCUGGCAUGCUUUAGAGAUCUGACGAAACAUGGUUCAUCCAAAAACUGAAUGAAGAUUAUAGAAGUCAAGAUAUAUUUCAAUCCACGAAAGAAUCAACUUUCA